UUUUUCAGAGGAGAGGCUCAUAGAGUGUUUGCAAAAGGACGAAAUGAAAGCUCUUUGCAUUUCUGUUAUAUUACUAAAGGACAUAUAUAGCCUCCGUUCUUGAAGGCUGAGAUUUUGCAAUUCAACUAUUAUUUCUCAGAAGUAACGCAAUUAGUGUCCACAUCCUCCAAUCGAUCUUUAUAUGUUCUAGAAAAUGUAUUAAUUAAAGAUUUUAUUUCAUCCAUCAAAGUUUUAUUUUGUCGCACAAUCCACGAAAUUAGUAAAUGAUUGAUAUAGCUGCUUUAUCGCUUCGCCACAGCUUGAAAUUGCACAGAAAGAAAAAACCAUUCACAAACAGCAUUGUCAAAUCAAACCACAAAACAACGACAUUUACGCUUAAAAAUCUGAAAUUCAUUAUAAGUCUGAAAGACCGAUCAUGAGAGCUUCUGCAAUUAGGAAUUUUAGAUCAAGUUUCUGUCAAAUAGCGACAAGCGUGGCUCGUGGAUCAUCCUUGUACCGAUAUUGUCCCAAAUUAACCACCUUUUAAGGUGUUGGGUUUUAAUCACAAAAGACCUCGGUACAAUUAGGAAUGAUCCACCCACUUAUAAGUUAUAUUUUAUUUGUCACUUUUCCAAUGUGGGAUCUCUCCUCUCCAACACUCCCCCUCACGUGCAACCUAACUUUUAGGUCUGCACGUGAAACUGAUUAACAAACUAAACCCGGGCCCCAUGAUAACCGAAAGAACCCCAAACUCCCAGACUUCCAGUGACAACUGAAAGAACCAAACCAGGCUGAAUUAACUCCAAACUCGAAAGAACCAAACCAGGGCCAUGACCCCUGAAAGAACCAACCCGGGCUUAUGGAGACGCAACUGGAGAGGGACCCGCUCUGAUACCAUGUCAAACAGCGACAAGCGUGGCUCGUGGAUCAUCCUUGUACCGAUAUUGUCCCAAAUUAACCACCUUUAAGGUGUUGGGUUUUAAUCACAAAAGGCCUCGGUACAAUUAGGAAUGAUCCACCCACUUAUAAGUUAUAUUUUAUUUGUCACUUUUCCAAUGUGGGAUCUCUCCUCUCCAACAGUUUCUACUUUCUAGGAUUCUAUUGAAA
Molecule: long non-coding RNA, 1086 nt
Filed under: Fragaria vesca (wild strawberry)
Lineage: Eukaryota; Viridiplantae; Streptophyta; Magnoliopsida; Rosales; Rosaceae
Description: long non-coding RNA (FVES_LNC003207)
Source: RNAcentral